RNAcentral lists this ribosomal RNA (253 nucleotides) under uncultured Allobaculum sp. Its description in RNAcentral is "partial 16S ribosomal RNA". It matches the Rfam family "Bacterial small subunit ribosomal RNA", at positions 524 to 776 of the family's 1533-position model. Lineage: Bacteria; Bacillati; Bacillota; Erysipelotrichia; Erysipelotrichales; Erysipelotrichaceae. The record is from RNAcentral.
UACGUAGGUGGCGAGCGUUAUCCGGAAUGAUUGGGCGUAAAGGGUGCGCAGGCGGUCCUGCAAGUCUGGAGUGAAACGUAUGAGCUCAACUCAUGCAUGGCUCUGGAAACCGGGCGACUUGAGUGCAGAAGAGGACAGUGGAACUCCAUGUGUAGCGGUGGAAUGCGUAGAUAUAUGGAAGAACACCAGUAGCGAAGGCGGCUGUCUGGUCUGCAACUGACGCUGAGGCUCGAAAGCAUGGGUAGCGAACAGG